RNAcentral lists this transfer RNA (63 nucleotides) under Anaspis sp. ANA02. RNAcentral's name for it is "tRNA-Pro". The record is from RNAcentral. Lineage: Eukaryota; Metazoa; Arthropoda; Insecta; Coleoptera; Scraptiidae.
CAGAAAAUAGUUUAUAAAAAUAUUAAUUUUGGAGAUUAAAGAUAAUUGUUUAAUUUUUUCUGA